Molecule: ribosomal RNA, 369 nt
Filed under: uncultured bacterium
Lineage: Bacteria
Description: bacterial SSU rRNA
Rfam family: Bacterial small subunit ribosomal RNA
Source: RNAcentral
GAUCUGCCCUGCACUUCGGGAUAAGCCUGGGAAACUGGGUCUAAAUACCGGAUAGGAGCCAUUUUUAGUGUGAUGGUUGGAAAGUUUUUUCGGUGUAGGAUGAGCUCGCGGCCUAUCAGCUUGUUGGUGGGGUAAUGGGCCUACCAAGGCGGCGACGGGUAGCCGGCCUGAGAGGGUGGACGGCCACAUUGGGACUGAGAUACGGCCCAGACUCCUACGGGAGGCAGCAGUGGGGAAUAUUGCACAAUGGCGCAAGCCUGAUGCAGCGACGCCGCGUGGGGAUGACGGCCUUCGGGUUGUAAACUCCUUUCGCUAGGGACGAAGCUUUUUGUGACGGUACCUAGAUAAGAAGCACCGGCUAACUACGUG